CAAGUCGAGCGGGAGAUUUACUUGGAAGGAUUUUUCUUGGAAAAAGCAAAUUUUAGCGGGCGGACGGGUGAGUAACGCGUGAGCAAUUCUGGCCCUUUACAGGGGGAUAACACAGGGAAACUUGUAUUAAAUACCGCAUUUUAUUAUUUAAUCGCAUGAUUGAGUGAUGAAAGUGGAAACACGGUAAAGGGGGAGCUCGCGUUCUAUUAGAUAGUUGGUGGGGUAACGGCCUACCAAGUCAACGAUAGAUAGCCGACCUGAGAGGGUGAUCGGCCACACUGGAACUGAGACACGGUCCAGACUUCUACGGAAGGCAGCAGUAGGGAAUAUUGGGCAAUGGGCGAAAGCCUGACCCAGCAACGCCGCGUGAGGGAAGAAGGUUCUCGGAUUGUAAACCUCUAUCCUUGGUGAAGAUAAUGACGGUAGCCAAGAAGGAAGCCCCGGCUAACUACGUGCCAGCAGCCGCGGUAAUACGUAGGGGGCAAGCGUUGUCCGGAAUGAUUGGGCGUAAAGGGCUCGUAGGCGGCUAAUCAAGUCUGGAGUGAAAGUCCUGCUUUUAAGGUGGGAAUUGCUUUGGAAACUGAAUAGCUUGAGUGUAGGAGAGGUUAGUGGAAUUCCCAGUGUAGCGGUGAAAUGCGUAGAGAUUGGGAGGAACACCAGUGGCGAAGGCGACUAACUGGACUAUAACUGACGCUGAGGAGCGAAAGUGUGGGUAGCAAACAGGAUUAGAUACCCUGGUAGUCCACACUGUAAACGAUGAAUGCUAGGUGUAGGUGGUAUCGACCCCCAUCUGUGCCGCAGUAAACACAAUA
RNAcentral lists this ribosomal RNA (812 nucleotides) under uncultured bacterium. RNAcentral describes it as "bacterial SSU rRNA". It matches the Rfam family "Bacterial small subunit ribosomal RNA", at positions 58 to 862 of the family's 1533-position model. The record is from RNAcentral.